UGUAUAAUGGGUCAGCGACUUAUAUUCUGUAGCAAGGUUAACCGAAUAGGGGAGCCGAAGGGAAACCGAGUCUUAACUGGGCGUUAAGUUGCAGGGUAUAGACCCGAAACCCGGUGAUCUAGCCAUGGGCAGGUUGAAGGUUGGGUAACACUAACUGGAGGACCGAACCGACUAAUGUUGAAAAAUUAGCGGAUGACUUGUGGCUGGGGGUGAAAGGCCAAUCAAACCGGGAGAUAGCUGGUUCUCCCCGAAAGCUAUUUAGGUAGCGCCUCGUGAAUUCAUCUCCGGGGGUAGAGCACUGUUUCGGCAAGGGGGUCAUCCCGACUUACCAACCCGAUGCAAACUGCGAAUACCGGAGAAUGUUAUCACGGGAGACACACGGCGGGUGCUAACGUCCGUCGUGAAGAGGGAAACAACCCAGACCGCCAGCUAAGGUCCCAAAGUCAUGGUUAAGUGGGAAACGAUGUGGGAAGGCCCAGACAGCCAGGAUGUUGGCUUAGAAGCAGCCAUCAUUUAAAGAAAGCGUAAUAGCUCACUGGUCGAGUCGGCCUGCGCGGAAGAUGUAACGGGGCUAAACCAUGCACCGAAGCUGCGGCAGCGACGCUUAUGCGUUGUUGGGUAGGGGAGCGUUCUGUAAGCCUGUGAAGGUGUACUGUGAGGUAUGCUGGAGGUAUCAGAAGUGCGAAUGCUGACAUAAGUAACGAUAAAGCGGGUGAAAAGCCCGCUCGCCGGAAGACCAAGGGUUCCUGUCCAACGUUAAUCGGGGCAGGGUGAGUCGACCCCUAAGGCGAGGCCGAAAGGCGUAGUCGAUGGGAAACAGGUUAAUAUUCCUGUACUUGGUGUUACUGCGAAGGGGGGACGGAGAAGGCUAUGUUGGCCGGGCGACGGUUGUCCCGGUUUAAGCGUGUAGGCUGGUUUUCCAGGCAAAUCCGGAAAAUCAAGGCUGAGGCGUGAUGACGAGGCACUACGGUGCUGAAGCAACAAAUGCCCUGCUUCCAGGAAAAGCCUCUAAGCAUCAGGUAACAUCAAAUCGUACCCCAAACCGACACAGGUGGUCAGGUAGAGAAUACCAAGGCGCUUGAGAGAACUCGGGUGAAGGAACUAGGCAAAAUGGUGCCGUAACUUCGGGAGAAGGCACGCUGAUAUGUAGGUGAAGUCCCUCGCGGAUGGAGCUGAAAUCAGUCGAAGAUACCAGCUGGCUGCAACUGUUUAUUAAAAACACAGCACUGUGCAAACACGAAAGUGGACGUAUACGGUGUGACGCCUGCCCGGUGCCGGAAGGUUAAUUGAUGGGGUUAGCGGUAACGCGAAGCUCUUGAUCGAAGCCCCGGUAAACGGCGGCCGUAACUAUAACGGUCCUAAGGUAGCGAAAUUCCUUGUCGGGUAAGUUCCGACCUGCACGAAUGGCGUAAUGAUGGCCAGGCUGUCUCCACCCGAGACUCAGUGAAAUUGAACUCGCUGUGAAGAUGCAGUGUACCCGCGGCAAGACGGAAAGACCCCGUGAACCUUUACUAUAGCUUGACACUGAACAUUGAGCCUUGAUGUGUAGGAUAGGUGGGAGGCUUUGAAGUGUGGACGCCAGUCUGCAUGGAGCCGGCCUUGAAAUACCACCCUUUAAUGUUUGAUGUUCUAACGUUGGCCCCUGACCGGGGUUGCGGACAGUGUCUGGUGGGUAGUUUGACUGGGGCGGUCUCCUCCUAAAGAGUAACGGAGGAGCACGAAGGUUGGCUAAUCCUGGUCGGACAUCAGGAGGUUAGUGCAAUGGCAUAAGCCAGCUUGACUGCGAGCGUGACGGCGCGAGCAGGUGCGAAAGCAGGUCAUAGUGAUCCGGUGGUUCUGAAUGGAAGGGCCAUCGCUCAACGGAUAAAAGGUACUCCGGGGAUAACAGGCUGAUACCGCCCAAGAGUUCAUAUCGACGGCGGUGUUUGGCACCUCGAUGUCGGCUCAUCACAUCCUGGGGCUGAAGUAGGUCCCAAGGGUAUGGCUGUUCGCCAUUUAAAGUGGUACGCGAGCUGGGUUUAGAACGUCGUGAGACAGUUCGGUCCCUAUCUGCCGUGGGCGCUGGAGAACUGAGGGGGGCUGCUCCUAGUACGAGAGGACCGGAGUGGACGCAUCACUGGUGUUCGGGUUGUCAUGCCAAUGGCACUGCCCGGUAGCUAAAUGCGGAAGAGAUAAGUGCUGAAAGCAUCUAAGCACGAAACUUGCCCCGAGAUGAGUUCUCCCUGACUCCUUGAGAGUCCUGAAGGAACGUUGAAGACGACGACGUUGAUAGGCCGGGUGUGUAAGCGCAGCGAUGCGUUGAGCUAACCGGUACUAAUGAACCGUGAGGCUUAACCUUACAACGCCGAAG
This 2350-nucleotide ribosomal RNA is filed under the name Escherichia coli. RNAcentral describes it as "partial 23S ribosomal RNA". It matches the Rfam family "Bacterial large subunit ribosomal RNA", at positions 609 to 2925 of the family's 2925-position model. Lineage: Bacteria; Pseudomonadati; Pseudomonadota; Gammaproteobacteria; Enterobacterales; Enterobacteriaceae. The record is from RNAcentral.